GUUUACAAGAAGCCCAGUACUGAUGGUAGUCAAGACACAGAAGUAGAUCAUUCGGUUGGCUUUGCAAGACUAAGUUGUACUUGGAGCUACCAAAACCAGGUUUGAUAAAAGCAGGAAAAAAAAUAGAAGUGAAAAGAGGAAAGAAGAAAAGAAGAAAUGAAAAGAAGACAAGCAAAUACAUCCUGCAUGAAGAGCAGGUCACUGGAAGAGUGAGAAGACGGUGGCAAUGAGGCCAAUGGCCACAAUCUUAUAUACCCUUCUUCUAAGAACAGAUCUAGACCAGAAGCUGUUCUGCUCCUGUAAUCUGACAGCUGUCUGCGAUUGACAGGUCAUGCCCUAUUGUCCAGCCUCCUUGUCAGGCCCUAAUCUCCUACAUCAAUAGGUAACACCUUGGUGUCAUUUAGAGACUGUUUGUCAGUUUUACAGGUCCCAAAAGUUUGUCACUUUAUCUGAAUUGAUAUGACUGUGAGACAGAUGUACAGGUAAUUGAAGUAAAUCUAUUUGCUAACUUACUUCAGGAAAGAACACAGCA
This 532-nucleotide long non-coding RNA is filed under the name Fukomys damarensis (Damara mole-rat). Its description in RNAcentral is "lncRNA (ENSFDAG00000029245.1)". Lineage: Eukaryota; Metazoa; Chordata; Mammalia; Rodentia; Bathyergidae. The record is from RNAcentral.